Molecule: ribosomal RNA, 153 nt
Filed under: Schistosoma mansoni
Lineage: Eukaryota; Metazoa; Platyhelminthes; Trematoda; Strigeidida; Schistosomatidae
Description: 5.8S ribosomal RNA
Rfam family: 5.8S ribosomal RNA
About the family: 5.8S ribosomal RNA (5.8S rRNA) is a component of the large subunit of the eukaryotic ribosome.
Source: Rfam by way of RNAcentral
AACUUUGAGCGGUGGAUCACUCAGCUCGUGUGUCGAUGAAGAGUGCAGCCAACUGUGUGAAUUAAUGUGAACUGCAUACUGCUUUGAACAUCGACAUCUUGAACGCAUAUUGCGGCUACGGGAUAUCCUGUGGCCACGCCUGUCCGAGGGUCG